RNAcentral lists this ribosomal RNA (126 nucleotides) under Octodon degus (degu). The record is from RNAcentral. Lineage: Eukaryota; Metazoa; Chordata; Mammalia; Rodentia; Octodontidae.
GUCUACGGCCAUACCACCCUGAACGCACCCGAUCUCAUCUGAUCUCGGAAGCUAAGCAGGGUCGGGCCUGGUUAGUACUUGGAUGGGAGAAAUAGACAUUUUGCUCGUGAAGGUUCAGGAAAGAUU